Molecule: long non-coding RNA, 351 nt
Filed under: Cyanistes caeruleus (blue tit)
Lineage: Eukaryota; Metazoa; Chordata; Aves; Passeriformes; Paridae
Description: lncRNA (ENSCCEG00000012005.1)
Source: RNAcentral
CCCCAAACAGUUACGUGGUUCACCUGUGCCUCAUUUUCCUUUUGAAAGCCAGGUGCUUCUUUCUUGUGCCAUCCCCAAUGUUCAUCGCUCCCCUCGAGGUGGUAGCCAGGGGAGUCCUGGUCUCAGCCUGCUGUCACCUAGCGAGGGACUGUCAUGGCCCCUGGAUGCUUCUGGAAGUGCGUUCAGGAAGAAAGAGUUCCCUAUGGAGAAUCAUGAGUGUCACUUGAGCUGGAUAGGAAACUGUUUUUCCACUUCAUGAAAUUUUGAAUCGGCUGUGAUUCCCUAGAAGAUUAAAACAGCAGUAAAUUUUGGGCUGAUAUAUUAAUUUUGGUUUCAUUUUCUGGAAGAAAA